GGAUGAAGAACGUAGCGAAAUGCGAUAAGUAAUGUGAAUUGCAGAAUUCAGUGAAUCAUCGAAUCUUUGAACGCACAUUGCGCCCGCCAGUAUUCUGGCGGGCAUGCCUGUCUGAGCGUCAUUUCAACCCUCAUGCCCCUAGGGCGUGGUGUUGGGGAUCGGCCAAAGCCCGCGAGGGACGGCCGGCCCCUAAAUCUAGUGGCGGACCCGUCGUGGCCUCCUCUGCGAAGUAGUGAUAUUCCGCAUCGGAGAGCGAUGAGCCCCUGCCGUUAAACCCCCAACUUUCCAAGGUUGACCUCAGAUCAGGUAGGAAUACCCGCUGAACUUAAGCAUAUCAAUAAGCGGAGGA
RNAcentral lists this unclassified non-coding RNA (349 nucleotides) under soil metagenome. Its description in RNAcentral is "partial contains 5.8S ribosomal RNA, internal transcribed spacer 2, and large subunit ribosomal RNA". The stretch from base 2 to 121 matches the Rfam family "5.8S ribosomal RNA", at positions 35 to 154 of the family's 154-position model. The record is from RNAcentral.